UUGGAGGGCAAGUCUGGUGCCAGCAGCCGCGGUAAUUCCAGCUCCAAUAGCGUAUAUUAAAGUUGUUGCAGUUAAAAAGCUCGUAGUUGAAUUUCGGGAUCGACGGGUCGGUCGCGCCUCUGGUGUGUACUGGCCCUGUCGGUUUCUCCCUUCUGACGAACCACGAUGUCAUUAAUUUGGUGUCGUGGGAAAUCAGGACUGUUACUUUGAAAAAAUUAGAGUGUUUAAAGCAGGCAUUCGCUUGAAUACAUUAGCAUGGAAUAAUGAAAUAGGACGUUUGAUCUUAUUUUGUUGGUUUCUAAGAUCGACGUAAUGAUUAAUAGGGAUAGUUGGGGGCAUUAGUAUUCAAUUGUCAGAGGUGAAAUUCUUGGAUUUAUUGAAGACUAACUACUGCGAAAGCAUUUGCCAAGGAUGUUUUCAUUAAUCAAGAACGAAAGUUAGGGGAUCGAAGACGAUCAGAUACCGUCGUAGUCUUAACCAUAAACUAUGCCGACUAGGGAUCGGAUGAUGUUAAUUUUUAAUGAACUCAUUCGGCGCCUUACGGGAAACCANGUGUUUGGGU
Molecule: ribosomal RNA, 562 nt
Filed under: uncultured Glomus
Lineage: Eukaryota; Fungi; Glomeromycota; Glomeromycetes; Glomerales; Glomeraceae
Description: SSU rRNA
Rfam family: Eukaryotic small subunit ribosomal RNA
Source: RNAcentral